Long non-coding RNA from Xiphias gladius (swordfish), 283 nucleotides. RefSeq lists it as uncharacterized. The record is from RefSeq and is a predicted model, not a curated record. The transcript is spliced from 3 exons. NCBI's taxonomy places the organism in Eukaryota, Metazoa, Chordata, Actinopteri, Istiophoriformes, Xiphiidae.
UUUGUACCGUGAUGAGCAUGAAGAUAAAUGUUAGCUGUGAAAGUUGCCCUUUCACGCUUUGAAUGAAUACCCAUGGAACAGCUUCAAUUUAAGAAAAUAAGACUGUGUUGGAUACAGAACAGGGGACUGCACAGCGGUCAAAUGAAGUUGAGCGUAUGCGUGCUGUUUUCUGAAGGCCGCCAUAUUAUUGCCAAGGUGGAGUUGAGCAAUUUUCCUUUUUGCAUCCCACGUUCCUCCAUUCAUGUAUUAUUACACUAAAAUAAAAAAUAAAAAACCUUUACAG